CAUCAGUCACUCAUUUUUGUGUUAGAUUAAAUUUUUAAUUAGGUACAUUGUUUCAGGUACGAUCGAGCAAACAUCGCAAACAACAUGCUUUACCUUCAUCACUUCAAUUUGAAAUAUUUAUAAUUCAGGUUGGCGCAGCUAUGAUGUCCUGUCCUCUUCCACUGCCGCUGCUGCCGGCAUUGCAUCCGCAACCAGCGUUAGCAUCAGACUUUCCUAUUCAUAUUGGAAUAAAGGACCCGCUAUUAUCCUGAACUGCGCUCGAAGACAAUAAAAAGAAACUUUGAUAGUAUAGUGUAAAUAAAAUUAAAGUGCCUAAAGUACGUAUAAGGGUGUCGGUCGGACGUGGCGUCUCCUACGCGACAGACGGCCGCAUUUCGUGAAAUGGUCAAGGUAAGCUGGAGUUUUAUUUGUACAGGUAAUGAAUGUGGGGGCUAUUUAAAUAUUGCGUACUAUUAACAGUGUAAAUAUUUCAUUGCAACGGCAACGGAACGAAAGUUUUCAUGUUGGACUACGCGAGUUCGUGUUACGCCUUUGAUUCGGUUGAAAAUAUAACUUUUCUAGGUUAUGUACAGUUGGCUUUUUUAUCAUUGUAAUUUUAAGUACUUAUAGAAAUAUAGGAUAUAUAUAUUAUAAAAGAUAGAUACUUUUUGGUUUUAUAGCAGGUACCUAUUAUUCUCAAGGAUUUUGACAAAAAAAAUGUGUCUGAUAUAAUACCUUACGAUCAACUGCACACUUGACACGGUAUUUUAAGUAGGUACUUAUGGGACUACUAUCUGUUUUCUCUCUAGGUAGAGUUGAGCUUUAAAAAUGUGGUAUGAAAAAAUGUUCUAAACCGUCUGUUUAGCAAAAGUGCAGCACAAAUCACAUAUUUCCCGUAAUUACUAGCCCAUCUAAUUAAAUAUUAGCUGCACCAAUAAAUUAUUCUUUGAAAAUUAGCUCAUUGAAUAGACCGAACGGUUGCGUACGGUAUGUACGAUAAAUAAUUAACCAAUUUUAGUUUUCGCUUAAUCGGCUUUUUAGAAAACUCAUUUGACUGGCAAAUUGUUUUACGUGUCCAAGCUAAAUGAAUAUUCACCGGUAAUGUGCGGCCGGACGCCAUUUUAUUAUCCGGCCUGCUGUUUUUUUAGGUAACCACAAAACAAACAAAUACAUUUAUAGCUUUUAGAACUGUUGAUGCUCAUUUGUUUUGGAGAUUGUCUGCUUUUGGUCGAGAGCUUUAUUUGUAGAAUAUUAGUCCUAUUUUAUUUUUAUAAGAAAGUAAAAACAUAUUUUAUUAUGAAGUCAGUUCAUUUUGCUUUUAACGAAAUUUUUUGCACCCUGUUAGCCAAAGAACUGUUUCAAAAAUAAUUAGUAGACCUAAGUACAUACGUACACUCAAUCAAAUUGAACUUCGACCAAACCUAAGCCACACCUCAUUCUAAUCUCAACUGCUAAAUGAUACACAAACAACCGCAAACCGGAAAGUGUACCAUUUACUGUAGAGUGGACCUUAUAAUAUCCUGGGACCGUUUCUGCUGUUCACUGGAAAAUCGACCUUAUGUCAAGUAGAAAAUCAGCCUUAUAUCCGCAGCCUGAUACUACGCAAUCCUCAAGCGAGACUACUGGCGCUGUAAGAGCGAGAUGUUGCUAUGACGCAUGUAGCGGCAUCUCUUUUCCACAACGAUAACAGGACUGCUUUAAGAGAUCGUGGUACAGGUACAUAGGUUUCUCAUAGGCUUAUGUCCGCAGACAUCUACGGCAUUAUUUACAGGCCGAGACCUGUGGUAGCACACAGGAAUAGAUGCUUCUAGUUUAUCUCAAGGCAGCUAUUUUAUACUGGCUAACCAUUGUAUUACUUUUUUUUUCGAUUUUAUGAAGUGAGAAAAAAAUUUACGCUGUAAAGCCAUGGUCGUUUUUCUUCUUUGUUUUAAAUUAAUAUUUAGAUAUUAGAUUUUACUUACAGAAAUAACAGUUCAUGAUACGGGCCCAUACUAUACAUGAUAAAUGCUAUAAAAAAUACUACUAUUUCAUACUAAAGAUAAAUGCAUCAAUUAAUUUAAAAAAUCUAGCUUGUAAAUGUGUUAAGUGUUUUUUAUUU
Molecule: RNA transcript, 2077 nt
Organism: Trichoplusia ni (cabbage looper)
Lineage: Eukaryota; Metazoa; Arthropoda; Insecta; Lepidoptera; Noctuidae
Exons: 4
Source: RefSeq, a predicted model, not a curated record